RNAcentral lists this transfer RNA (55 nucleotides) under Coleomegilla maculata. RNAcentral describes it as "tRNA-Ser". The record is from RNAcentral. Lineage: Eukaryota; Metazoa; Arthropoda; Insecta; Coleoptera; Coccinellidae.
UUGACAAAUAAGGCAAAUUCAUUAUUAAAGAAAAAAAUAAUAAAAUUUUCAUAUG